AUUUAGAACUUGACAUUCCAUCAGAUUUAUUGAUUCCAAAUUCAGGUGGUCUUCUUGCUUCUAUCGUUGAAAGCACAUAUCCCCAACUUUUACAAAACAUUAACAAAUCCAUUCGAUUUUUACUUUUCAAAAGGAUUUGUAAUCCUGAACUUUUCGAGGAAUCCUUCAUCAGUGGUUGUGAAUGACCUAUUUUUCUCAAUCUUUAUGACUUGCUC
Molecule: long non-coding RNA, 215 nt
Filed under: Trifolium pratense (red clover)
Lineage: Eukaryota; Viridiplantae; Streptophyta; Magnoliopsida; Fabales; Fabaceae
Description: long non-coding RNA (TPRA_LNC013964)
Source: RNAcentral